UACAGAGGUCUCAAGCGUUGUUCGGAUUCAUUGGGCGUAAAGGGCGCGUAGGCGGCGGGGUAAGUCGGGUGUGAAAUCUCAGAGCUCAACUCUGAAAUGGCACUUGAUACUGCUCUGCUAGAGGACUGGAGAGGAGAUUGGAAUUCUCGGUGUAGCGGUGAAAUGCGUAGAUAUCGAGAGGAACACCUGCGGCGAAGGCGGGUUGCUGGGCCGACACUGACGCUGAUGCGCGAAAGCCAGGGGAGCGAACGGG
This 253-nucleotide ribosomal RNA is filed under the name uncultured bacterium. RNAcentral's name for it is "partial 16S ribosomal RNA". It matches the Rfam family "Bacterial small subunit ribosomal RNA", at positions 524 to 776 of the family's 1533-position model. The record is from RNAcentral.